RNAcentral lists this ribosomal RNA (494 nucleotides) under uncultured bacterium. Its description in RNAcentral is "partial 16S ribosomal RNA". It matches the Rfam family "Bacterial small subunit ribosomal RNA", at positions 31 to 507 of the family's 1533-position model. The record is from RNAcentral.
GAACGCUGGCGGCGUGCCUAAUACAUGCAAGUCGAGCGAACGGACGAGAAGCUUGCUUCUCUGAUGUUAGCGGCGGACGGGUGAGUAACACGUGGAUAACCUACCUAUAAGACUGGGAUAACUUCGGGAAACCGGAGCUAGUACCGGAUAAUAUUUUGAACCGCAUGGUUCAAAAGUGAAAGACGGUCUUGCUGUCACUUAUAGAUGGAUCCGCGCUGCAUUAGCUAGUUGGUAAGGUAACGGCUUACCAAGGCAACGAUGCAUAGCCGACCUGAGAGGGUGAUCGGCCACACUGGAACUGAGACACGGUCCAGACUCCUACGGGAGGCAGCAGUAGGGAAUCUUCCGCAAUGGGCGAAAGCCUGACGGAGCAACGCCGCGUGAGUGAUGAAGGUCUUCGGAUCGUAAAACUCUGUUAUUAGGGAAGAACAUAUGUGUAAGUAACUGUGCACAUCUUGACGGUACCUAAUCAGAAAGCCACGACUAACUACGUG